This 164-nucleotide ribosomal RNA is filed under the name uncultured bacterium. Its description in RNAcentral is "partial 16S ribosomal RNA". It matches the Rfam family "Bacterial small subunit ribosomal RNA", at positions 355 to 511 of the family's 1533-position model. The record is from RNAcentral.
UGGGGAAUAUUGCACAAUGGGCGCAAGCCUGAUGCAGCCAUGCCGCGUGUAUGAAGAAGGCCUUCGGGUUGUAAAGUACUUUCAGCGAGGAGGAAGGGGAUGUGGUUAAUAACCGCAUUCAUUGACGUUACUCGCAGAAGAAGCACCGGCUAACUCCGUGCCAG